This 380-nucleotide ribosomal RNA is filed under the name uncultured eukaryote. Its description in RNAcentral is "partial 18S ribosomal RNA". It matches the Rfam family "Eukaryotic small subunit ribosomal RNA", at positions 592 to 976 of the family's 1831-position model. The record is from RNAcentral.
CAAUAGCGUAUAUUAAAGUUGUUGCAGUUAAAAAGCUCGUAGUUGGAUUUGUGGCGUACGGUGUGUUCCGGGCACUUGUUGUCUGAGUAACCUGCUGUUGCCAUCCUUGGGUGGAACCUGUGUGGCAUUAGGUUGUCGUGCAGGGGAUGCCCAUCAUUUACUGUGAAAAAAUUAGAGUGUUCAAAGCAGGCUCAUGCCGUUGAAUAUAUUAGCAUGGAAUAAUGAGAUAGGACUUUUUUGCUAUUUUGUUGGUUUGCGCAAGAAGGUAAUGAUUAAUAGGGACAGUUGGGGGUAUUCGUAUUCCAUUGUCAGAGGUGAAAUUCUUGGAUUUUUGGAAGACGAACUACUGCGAAAGCAUUUACCAAGGAUGUUUUCAUUAA